GACGAACGCUGGCGGCGUGCCUAACACAUGCAAGUCGAGCGGAGAUAGACUGAUGGUAACUGAAGCUUAUCUUAGCGCGGACGGUGAGUAACACGUGGGCAACCUGCCUUGGGAGUGGGGGAUAACACCGGGAAAUCGGUGCUAAUACCGCAUAACAUACACAAACUGCAUGGUAAGUGUAUCAAAGGAGUAAUCCGCUUUAAGAUGGGCCCGCGGCUGAUUAGCUAGUUGGUAAGGUAACGGCUUACCAAGGCGACGAUCAGUAGCCGACCUGAGAGGGUGACCGGCCACACUGGAACUGAGACACGGUCCAGACUCCUACGGGAGGCAGCAGUGGGGAAUAUUGCGCAAUGGGGGGAACCCUGACGCAGCAACGCCGCGUGGAGGAAGAAGGUCUUCGGAUUGUAAACUCCUGUCUUCUGGGACGAAGUAUGACGGUACCAGAGGAGGAAGCCACGGCUAACUACGUG
This 470-nucleotide ribosomal RNA is filed under the name uncultured bacterium. RNAcentral's name for it is "bacterial SSU rRNA". It matches the Rfam family "Bacterial small subunit ribosomal RNA", at positions 28 to 507 of the family's 1533-position model. The record is from RNAcentral.